GACGAACGCUGGCGGCGUGCUUAACACAUGCAAGUCGAACGGAAAGGCCCUGCUUUUGUGGGGUGCUCGAGUGGCGAACGGGUGAGUAACACGUGAGUAACCUGCCCUUGACUUUGGGAUAACUUCAGGAAACUGGGGCUAAUACCGGAUAGGAGUUCCUGCUGCAUGGUGGGGGUUGGAAAGUUUCGGCGGUUGGGGAUGGACUCGCGGCUUAUCAGCUUGUUGGUGGGGUAGUGGCUUACCAAGGCCUUGACGGGUAGCCGGCCUGAGAGGGUGAGCGGCCACAUUGGGACUGAAAUGCGGCCCAGACUCCUACGGGAGGCAGCAGUGAGGAAUAUUGCACAAUGGGCGGAAGCCUGAUGCAGCGACGCCGCGUGCGGGAUGACGGCCUUCGGGUUGUAAACCGCUUUCGCCUGUGACGAAGCGUGAGUGACGGUAAUGGGUAAAGAAGCACCGGCUAACUACGUG
Molecule: ribosomal RNA, 468 nt
Filed under: uncultured bacterium
Lineage: Bacteria
Description: partial 16S ribosomal RNA
Rfam family: Bacterial small subunit ribosomal RNA
Source: RNAcentral